This 301-nucleotide ribosomal RNA is filed under the name uncultured bacterium. Its description in RNAcentral is "partial 16S ribosomal RNA". It matches the Rfam family "Bacterial small subunit ribosomal RNA", at positions 509 to 807 of the family's 1533-position model. The record is from RNAcentral.
CAGCAGCCGCGGGAAUACAGAGGGUGCGAGCGUUAAUCGGAUUUACUGGGCGUAAAGCGUGCGUAGGCGGCUUCUUAAGUCGGAUGUGAAAUCCAUGAGCUUAACUUAGGAAUUGCAUUCGAUACUGGGAAGCUAGAGUAUGGGAGAGGAUGGUAGAAUUCCAGGUGUAGCGGUGAAAUGCGUAGAGAUCUGGAGGAAUACCGAUGGCGAAGGCAGCCAUCUGGCCUAAUACUGACGCUGAGGUACGAAAGCAUGGGGAGCAAACAGGAUUAGAUACCCCUGUAGUCCCUGUCUCUUAUAC